AUCCAGCUGACGAGUCCUAAAUAGAACGAAACGUACACCCUGGAU
This is a non-coding RNA of Schistosoma curassoni, 45 nucleotides long. The record is from Rfam. NCBI's taxonomy places the organism in Eukaryota, Metazoa, Platyhelminthes, Trematoda, Strigeidida, Schistosomatidae.